RNAcentral lists this ribosomal RNA (506 nucleotides) under uncultured bacterium. RNAcentral's name for it is "partial 16S ribosomal RNA". It matches the Rfam family "Bacterial small subunit ribosomal RNA", at positions 29 to 523 of the family's 1533-position model. The record is from RNAcentral.
AGUGAACGCUGGCGGUAGGCCUAACACAUGCAAGUCGAACGGCAGCACAGGAGAGCUUGCUCUCUGGGUGGCGAGUGGCGGACGGGUGAGGAAUACAUCGGAAUCUACUCUGUCGUGGGGGAUAACGUAGGGAAACUUACGCUAAUACCGCAUACGACCUACGGGGGAAAGCGGGGGAUCUUCGGACCUUGCGCGAUUGAAUGAGCCGAUGUCGGAUUAGCUAGUUGGCGGGGUAAAGGCCCACCAAGGCGACGAUCCGUAGCUGGUCUGAGAGAAUGAUCAGCCACACUGGACCUGAGACACGGUCCAGACUCCUACGGGAGGCAGCAGUGGGGAAUAUUGGACAAUGGGCGCAAGCCUGAUCCAGCCAUACCGCGUGGGUGAAGAAGGCCUUCGGGUUGUAAAGCCCUUUUGUUGGGAAAGAAAUCCAGCUGGUUAAUACCCGGUUGGGAUGACGGUACCCAAAGAAUAAGCACCGGCUAACUUCGUGCCAGCCGCCGCCGUAA